Molecule: ribosomal RNA, 1131 nt
Filed under: oral metagenome
Description: bacterial SSU rRNA
Rfam family: Bacterial small subunit ribosomal RNA
Source: RNAcentral
GCCUACCAAGGCGACGAUCAGUAGCCGGCCUGAGAGGGUGAACGGCCACAUUGGGACUGAGAUACGGCCCAGACUCCUACGGGAGGCAGCAGUUAAGAAUCUUGCGCAAUGGGGGCAACCCUGACGCAGCGACGCCGCGUGAAUGAUGAAGGCCUUCGGGUUGUAAAGUUCAUUAAGCAGGGAAGAAUAAGCAAGAGGUAAUAUUUCUUGUGAUGACGGUACCUGCCUAAAGCCCCGGCUAACUACGUGCCAGCAGCCGCGGUAAUACGUAUGGGGCGAGCGUUGUUCGGAAUUAUUGGGCGUAAAGGGCGUCUAGGCGGGAAAAUAAGUUAGAUGUGAAAGGCAUGGGCUCAACCCGUGGAUUGCAUCUAAAACUGUUUUUCUUGAGUUCGGGAGAGGAGUGCGGAAUUCCGGGUGUAGCGGUGAAAUGCGUAGAUAUCCGGAAGAACACCAGUGGCGAAGGCGGCACUCUGGCCUAGAACUGACGCUGAAGCGCGAAAGCGUGGGGAGCGAACGGGAUUAGAUACCCCGGUAGUCCACGCUGUAAACGUUGUAUACUAGGUGUUGGCGGCUUGACUGCCAGUGCCGAAGCAAACGCAUUAAGUAUACCGCCUGGGGAGUACGACCGCAAGGUUGAAACUCAAAGAAAUUGACGGGGGCCCGCACAAGCGGUGGAGCAUGUGGUUUAAUUCGAUGAUACGCGAAGAACCUUACCUGGGCUUGAACUGUACAGGACAGACGCAGAGAUGUGUUUUCCCUUCGGGGUCUGUAUAGAGGUGCUGCAUGGUUGUCGUCAGCUCGUGUCGUGAGAUGUUGGGUUAAGUCCCGCAACGAGCGCAACCCCUACUCUCUGUUGCUAUCAGGUUAAGCUGGGCACUCUGAGGGAACUGCCGGUGACAAACCGGAGGAAGGUGGGGACGACGUCAAAUCAUCACGGCCCUUAUGUCCAGGGCUACACACGUGCUACAAUGGCCGGUACAAUGAGUCGCAAGACCGCGAGGUGGAGCUAAUCUCAAAAAACCGGUCUCAGUUCGGAUUGGAGUCUGCAACUCGACUCCAUGAAGUUGGAAUCGCUAGUAAUCGUGGAUCAGCAUGCCACGGUGAAUACGUUCCCGGGCCUUGUACACACCG